RNAcentral lists this ribosomal RNA (253 nucleotides) under uncultured bacterium. RNAcentral describes it as "partial 16S ribosomal RNA". It matches the Rfam family "Bacterial small subunit ribosomal RNA", at positions 524 to 776 of the family's 1533-position model. The record is from RNAcentral.
UACGGGGGGGGCAAGCGUUGUUCGGAAUUACUGGGCUUAAAGGGUGCGUAGGCGGUGGAGUAAGUCGGAUGUGAAAUACCUUAGCUUAACUAGGGAACUGCACUCGAUACUACUUUGCUAGAGUAAGACAGAGGUGAGUGGAACUGAGGGUGGAGCGGUGAAAUGCGUUGAUAUCCUCAGGAACACCGGUGGCGAAGGCGACUCACUGGGUCUUUACUGACGCUGAUGCACGAAAGCUAGGGUAGCAAACGGG